CUAGAAAUGUCACCAAAUUUGGUGGCGAUACACAGCAAAGACUGCAGGUUUGCAUGUCUAACGCAGCUGCCUCCUGCAGGCACUGUGAACUUCCUGGAACUUUUUGCAUGCAUUUUUCCCCCCAUAUUUUUCCUUCAAUAUCCUUUAUGGAAACGAAGCCUGAAGGAAGUAAAUUUCAGAGAUUGUGUGAAGGUCGCUGGAGCCAGGAGGAAAUUAAGCCUGUUCUGAAGUCCCAGCCACAAGAUGGUGAGGGAUUGUGUUUCUAUCCUCCAGAUAACCCAGAGGGGACAGUACAAAUCACAGAUCCAACUGAGAAUAACACUUUGUGGUGCAACUUGGAGGAACCGGCAGGAAAAAGAUCCUGGUUGCAUACUGGGCGAGAGGAAGCAACACCAAACAUCCACUGACGUGAUUUGUUUGGCAAGGUGCUAUCCUACAUACUGAGAGUAGAAGCCCGCCUUCAACCGUCUUACAGUCUACUUGGAGCAGCGAAUGCGCACAUGCACAUGCACACACACAUACCUUGCAACGUAAUUGUGUGUAAUUAAUAACGCACCAGCAAUGUCUCUAGAAAAUGUAUAGAUAUAACAAGUAAUUUAAUUUAGACACAGAUUUAUAUUGUCCAAGCACCAUUCUCAUGGAGAAUUCCUUUUCUGGUUUUCCUAUUCUAUGGACUAAACUUUUGUCUAAAAUUGUAGCAACUGAGGCCCAUCUAUUUCAGGGAUGGAUCUAUAAGUUAACAUAAAGAUUAACAAAUAAAUUAAUAAACAAAUUAAUUUAAAAAGAUUAAUUAUGACUCUCAUAGUGUGAAAUCAAAUUUAUACAGUUUACCAAACAACUCACUUAGGCAACAAAUAUGUAUAGGCAGUGUGGUCUUGAUGGUAACAAACAAUACAUCCUCACCCCAACUUGGUGACGUCCAUAGUUCAUGGUGGUCAUUUUCUCUGUUCUGAUAUUGGUAGAAGCAUUUUCUUUUAGAUCUUUGAUUCUGACUAUUAUUCUACAUUAUUUCAUCUCCUGUGCUCUGUGUAUCACACACAGCGUGGUGGGUAAGACCAUAGACAUGGGAGUUAGAUCAGCUGGGUUUGAAUACGGCUGUCCUCACUGUGUAGUUGUGAGACUGUUGCUAAACCUAUAAGCUUUCGUUUACACACAUUCCACGUAGUUAACAUUACAAUAAAGUUGCUUAUUAUACUGUAGUGGGAUGAAUGGUGGUCUCCAAAAAAAAAUACUUCCACAUCCUAAUCUCUGGAACCUAUGAAUAUUACUUUAUUUGGAAAAAAGGAUCCUUGCAGAUGUAAUUAAACUAAGGAUCUUGAGAUGGAUCAUCUUGGGUUGGACCCUCAAUCCAAUGGUGUGCUUAUAAAACAUGGAAGAAAGAUCCAAACAGUAGAGGAGAAAGUGAUGCGAAGAAAGAGGCAGAGGUAGCAGUAAGGUGGCCACAACCCAUGGCAGCCAUGGAAAGUGCCAGCCAGCAGGAGCUGAAAGAGGCAGGGAGGAUCUCCCUGGAGUCUCCCGUCCUGCUGGGAGU
This is a long non-coding RNA of Canis lupus familiaris (dog), 1531 nucleotides long. RefSeq lists it as uncharacterized. The transcript has 4 exons. The record is from RefSeq and is a predicted model, not a curated record. Lineage: Eukaryota; Metazoa; Chordata; Mammalia; Carnivora; Canidae.